This 431-nucleotide small RNA is filed under the name Histoplasma capsulatum var. duboisii H88. RNAcentral's name for it is "Histoplasma capsulatum H88 hypothetical RNA". Lineage: Eukaryota; Fungi; Ascomycota; Eurotiomycetes; Onygenales; Ajellomycetaceae. The record is from RNAcentral.
UGGUGGUUCGAAAGUCAUCGAUGGUGGGAUACAGAAAAAGCAAGGGAGGACGAAGGGUGGCUUGAGGGUUCUUGGAUAAUACGCCCGUACUUACUUGUUUUCUGUGUUUCUUCCUUGUGCUGUGUUUUGUCGUUGAUAUUUUGGCGAGUCAAUUCAAGUUUUGGAUGGUUUAUGUAUUCAUCUAUUCCCCUUUCCCUCGCUCGUGGUUUCCUUUCUUUUAUUCGUGGGUAUAAGCUCUCUAGAAUACUCGAUACAAAGCGCAUGGAAUUUUGUGUGCUGUUUAACUAAUAAAUUGUCUUCGAGACCUUUCCCCCCUUCCUUCAUGUUACCCGUAAACGUUUCGGAGAUAAGCAGUUUUACAAACAUGGCGGCCGUCCAUACCAAGCUCAGAGAAGGGCGGAGCCUACCUGCAUUCUCGCGGGAAAUCUCAA